Arachis ipaensis is the source of this 933-nucleotide non-coding RNA. NCBI's taxonomy places the organism in Eukaryota, Viridiplantae, Streptophyta, Magnoliopsida, Fabales, Fabaceae. The record is from RefSeq and is a predicted model, not a curated record.
GAGGAAGAAGAAGAGGACGGCGCCGGUGGGUUAGGUGCCGCCGUCGCCGUCAUUGCCAAGCCCGAAGGAGAAAGAGAGUCCGCAAAGGGAGAGUGAGGGACGGAGAAGAGAAGCCGCGCUAACCCCGCAACGCCACUGCGUCGUCGCCUCCGUUGAGCGGUCGCCAUCAUCGUGCGAGAAAGGAGAAGGAGCCGUCGAGGGGUCGCUAAGCCGCUGCUGUCUCCGUCACAUUCGUUUCUGUCACAGAAGCUUCCAUUUUCGUCACUUUCAUGUUGCGGAGAGAAAGAACUACGCAUGAGCCAGGGGCCAGGGAAAGGGAGCCACUGCCGUUGCAUCCUGGCUACGCUGCCGUUCAAUUCGUUGUUUCAUCAUGGCCAUGGAGAGGAACGUGAAUGGAAAAGGAAACAGGGAAGCUGCUACUUGGGAUUUGAGGAAAACGGCUCUGUUCUGCCUCGCCUCUAGGUUCUGCAAGUUGCCGGAGUCCUCAGCUGCCGGGAACCAGCACUGAAGCUGCCCAGAAUCACUACUGUUGCUGCCAUGGGAGCUGGUAUUGGAACCACUGAUGGAGCUGCUGUGUUUAGUGAUUUUCGCGAGUUGUGACAUCGAGGAUUGAAAUUGUAGAUAAAUGCUUUUGUCAUGACACAAUGGAACAGAUUGUUGAUUCUUUGAGUGGCAAGUGAAACAAAUGAUGCAUGGUGCAUUUCUACCCUAAAUAGACUUAAAGAAGCUUCGCCAUUGAGCUUGAAGGUUUCCCUGAGAUCAAUACGAGAGGGUAGAUUUUAAACUCUUGACCAGUGCUUAUUGCGUGAGUACCAUACGACUUUACAAGCAAAAUCUAAGCAGAUUUCUGGUGACUUUUGUGAGGUAAUGAACAUUGCCAGCAUUACAAAUCCAACAUCAUUCAAAGAUGAGGUUUCUAGGUGGUUUAUAAAU